Molecule: ribosomal RNA, 583 nt
Filed under: Aspergillus niger
Lineage: Eukaryota; Fungi; Ascomycota; Eurotiomycetes; Eurotiales; Aspergillaceae
Description: partial 18S ribosomal RNA
Rfam family: 5.8S ribosomal RNA (bases 241-394)
Source: RNAcentral
UGGAAGUAAAAAUCGUAACAAGGUUUCCGUAGGUGAACCUGCGGAAGGAUCAUUACCGAGUGCGGGUCCUUUGGGCCCAACCUCCCAUCCGUGUCUAUUGUACCCUGUUGCUUCGGCGGGCCCGCCGCUUGUCGGCCGCCGGGGGGGCGCCUCUCCCCCCGGGCCCGUGCCCGCCGGAGACCCCAACACGAACACUGUCUGAAAGCGUGCAGUCUGAGUUGAUUGAAUGCAAUCAGUUAAAACUUUCAACAAUGGAUCUCUUGGUUCCGGCAUCGAUGAAGAACGCAGCGAAAUGCGAUAACUAAUGUGAAUUGCAGAAUUCAGUGAAUCAUCGAGUCUUUGAACGCACAUUGCGCCCCCUGGUAUUCCGGGGGGCAUGCCUGUCCGAGCGUCAUUGCUGCCCUCAGCCCGGCUUGUGUGUUGGGUCGCCGUCCCCCUCUCCGGGGGGACGGGCCCGAAAGGCAGCGGCGGCACCGCGUCCGAUCCUCGAGCGUAUGGGGCUUUGUCACAUGCUCUGUAGGAUUGGCCGGCGCCUGCCGACGUUUUCCAACCAUUCUUCCAGGUGACCUCGAUCAGUACGUUA